Molecule: long non-coding RNA, 1512 nt
Filed under: Macaca fascicularis (crab-eating macaque)
Lineage: Eukaryota; Metazoa; Chordata; Mammalia; Primates; Cercopithecidae
Description: lncRNA (ENSMFAG00000055880.1)
Source: RNAcentral
GUUACUGACAAAAUGGAACCACUCUUUGUUCAAUUUUUCCUAAAAACAUUUCUCCAAAAUGUGUUUUGAUCUAUUAAAUUGUAUGUUUUGCUUCAAGUUAUAAAGACAAAAGUGUAUAUAUUCAACUUAAAUUAUUUAUUGUACAUAGGACAUACUGGGUAUUUACGUUUUUUCUUGUAAUUAUAUAAUACAGGUAAUCUAUGUAUAUUUGACACCUGAAUUUUCUUUUGAUGAUCCACAUACUGAGUUCUGCAUCUAAAGAACAUUUGGCGUAAAAAGCUUCUGUCUGAAUUUUGAUUUUUGUAGAUAAGAGUCUGCACAAAUCCCACAAGGUUGCUGUACAGAGGCAGAUGUUUGUUAUAAACUACAGUUAAAUUCUAUGCUCUGAUACUGUCUACUUUCCCUUCCAUAUAUCAUCACCAAAAAUAACAAGAUAAUAGAAAACAAGGUUUGAUUCCAGAAUGAUUUCAGUUGAUGAUGAUGAAUGAAGCAGAAUAGACAGCCUGAUUUUCAUAAGUUAAAUUGAACUUGCAGUGCCAAAUGCAGCAACAACAGCAAAAAGAUUAGCAGACAUGACAAGGGAAAAGAGAAGAAUUUAUGUGCAAACACAUAAUGCCAUUUGAAAAAAGAAGGGAGUUAUGAAAAUGUACAAAUGCAUAGAUACUGAAUGCUGGCAGGAAAGAAUAAACUAAAAAUACAUUAUCUAAUGUUGGAAGCAAUUCUUAUAGAGAAUCAGGGCCAAGUAAAUAGAGUAAGAUAGUUUCAGGAAAUAAUUUUAUUUUAUUUGAGCUCUACAAGAAAUCAUACCUUGGUUCUUUUGGCAUCCAGUAAAAGUAAUUGUAAGAGACUAUAAUCUAGCUAGUAUCCACAGAAGAAAAUAACAUUAGGUGGGAUCCAUGAAUAUUUUACCAUAUAUAACAAACAUUCCCCAUUUCACACACCACUCUUUGUAAAGCAAAAACAGGAUGAAGAAUAAAAUAAUAAGAUAUUUUUCCAUUGGUAGUUUGAAGUUGUGAUAUUAAUUGCUUCCUCCACUUUGUGGCUUCUCAAGACGUAAACUGAAAAAUUGUUAUCAAAAUGACUUAAAAAGGGAGAUUAUUUUACAUCUAAGGAUUCUUUAUAUUUUUCUCUGGUAAUAUCAUUGUUUAGUUCUUUAAUCAAAUGAUUUGCGUCAAAAUAAAUCCAUGGGACUGCCUUUGUCUCUAUGUAAAACUGACAACUGUUUUUGUCUUAAUUAUUUUAGAAUAAAUUGAUAUUGUUAUAUAUGUUUCUUCUACACCAACCCUCAGGUUAAUAGAAUAUUUAAAAGUCUUUUAUUAUAGGAAUUAAAGUGACUUUAAGAAUAUUACAGCUUGUUCCAUGUAGUAUUAAUUUCAAUUGGUAAGACAUCAAAUUUGCUUUGUAACUGCAGAAAUAAUGAAUUAAUCUCAAGAAAAUGGCCUAAUACCUGAAAAUCAUCAUCCCAGAAAAACCCAUUAUACAUAAUGCACAAAAGUAAAAAAAAAAAAAAAA